RNAcentral lists this ribosomal RNA (1707 nucleotides) under Amphorellopsis acuta. RNAcentral describes it as "partial large subunit ribosomal RNA". It matches the Rfam family "Eukaryotic large subunit ribosomal RNA", at positions 72 to 1824 of the family's 3401-position model. Lineage: Eukaryota; Ciliophora; Spirotrichea; Tintinnida; Tintinnidae. The record is from RNAcentral.
GGAUUCCCUUAGUACGGGCGACGGAAGCGGGAAAAGCCCACACUGGUAAUCUCCGUGCGUUAGUACGGCGAAUUGUAAUCUGAAGAGUUGAUGUCAUGGCCAGGAGGAGACGCAGAAGUGUCCACGAGCGGACCGCCAAAGAGGGUGAGAGCCCCGUCUGUAGUGUUUUCUUCAGUCUGAUAUCGGCCCAAAGAGUCGUGUACCUUGAUACUGGUGCACCAAGCGGGAGAUAAACUUCUUCUAAGGCUAAAUAUAAGUAGGAAACCGAUAGCGAACAAGUACUGUGAAGGAAAGAUGAAAAGCACUUUGGAAAGAAAGUUAAAAGACCUGAAAUCGUUGAGGCGGAAGCGGUAGAAAUGAAUUCUUCGCCAUGGUAGGUGGGAAGCCUGCGGUCGCGGGUUACUUCUUGCCUGGCGUGAGACAAGAUGGAGUCGGCAGGUGCCAGAGACGCUGUGGCCGGACCUCACGGUCUAGCCAUAGUGGCCGGGUAGCCAGCCGGCUUGAGGGGCUUUGUGCGAUCUUGUCAAAAUGGUUUUUACCGACCCGUCUUGAAACACGGACCAAGGAGUCUAAGACUAGCGCGAGUGUGGUGGUGGAGAAACCAACACGCGAAAUGAAAGUAAAUGGUGCCAACUUCGGUGCAGCACCGACCGACCAUGAUCCACUGGUGAAAGGUUUGAGUAAGAGCGUUAUUCUUAGGACCCGAAAGAUGGUGAACUAUGCCUGUGUAGGGUGAAGUCAGGGGAAACUCUGAUGGAGGCUCGUAGCGAUACUGACGUGCAAAUCGUUCGUCGAACAUGGGUAUAGGGGCGAAAGACUAAUCGAACCAUCUAGUAGCUGGUUCCCGCCGAAGUUUCCCUCAGGAUAGCUGGGACAACCACGCAGUUUUAUUAGGUAAAGCGAAUGAUUAGAGGCAUCGGGGACGGAAUGUCCUUGACCUAUUCUCAAACUUUAAAUUGGUAAGAACUCCUGUCUUUCUUAAGUGAAGCGGGAGGUUCAAUGCGUGUCCUUAGUGGGCCAUUUUUGGUAAGCAGAACUGGCGAUGAGGGAUGCUCCUAACGUCGGGUUAAGGUGCCAAACUACACGCUCAUCAGAAACUACAAAGGGUGUUAGUUCAUCCAGACAGCAGGACGGUGGCCAUGGAAGUCGGAAUCCGCUAAGGAGUGUGUUACAACUCACCUGCCGAAUGAACUAGUCCCGAAAAUGGAUGGCGCUAAAGCGUGUGACCGAUACCCGACCAUUGGUGCGAGAGUGAGGCAUCAAUGAGUAGGCGGGCGUGAGCGUCGUAGCGAAGCCUCUGGCGUGAGCCUGGGUUGAACGGCGUUUAGUGCAGAUCUUGGUGGUAGUAGCAAUUAUUCAAAUGAGAACUUUGAAGGCCGAAGUGGAGAAGGUUUCCGUGAGAACAGCAAUUGGUCACGGGUGACUCGAUCCUAAGACAUGGGGGAAAUCCUUGUUAAGUGUGCGCUAGCACGUAGUCGAAAGGGAAUGAGGUUAAUAUUCCUCAAGCGGGAUGUGGGCGUUAAAUGGUAACAUAAACGAACUUAGAGACGCCGGCGUGAGCCUCUGGAAGAGUUGUCUUUUCUUUUUAACAGACUAGCGCCCCUGAAAUUGGUUUACCCAGAGAUAGGGGGGCAUGUCUGGAAGAGCACCUUGCGUUUCGAGGUGUCAGGUGCGCUCAUGACGGUCCGUGAAAAUCUAAGUGAGAUA